RNAcentral lists this ribosomal RNA (119 nucleotides) under Gossypium arboreum. Lineage: Eukaryota; Viridiplantae; Streptophyta; Magnoliopsida; Malvales; Malvaceae. The record is from RNAcentral.
CAGUGCGAUCAUACCAGCACUAAUGCACCGGAUCCCAUCAAAACUCCGCAGGUCAGCGUGCUUGGGUGAGAGUAGUACUAGGUUGGGUGACUUGGUGAGAAGUCCUCGUGUUGCACCAC